GCAGAAGUGCCGAGUCCCGACCGGGGGCAGCCUCGCCGCCGCUCAGCUCGGGAAUCCCUGCCCCCCACCAGCACCUCAGUGGGGGAUACUGCAAGUUCAAGCACCAGCCUCACGGUAACAGCCGGCACACAGCACUUAGGCUGCCUGGUGUUCCAGAAGCUUCUGCAGGGGCCCUAUGCUGCACUCAAGGCAUCCCUAAGAGGAGAGCAUUUUGCUGUCCCCACUUUACCGAGAAGGAACCUGGGCUCAGGGUGGUUUAAGGCGUGAAUGAAUGAAGGAGCAAGCAGUAAGCCCCGACAGCAAGGCCACCACAGCCCUCGCCCCACAGGGACGCCUGAGCAAGGACCCAAGCAGGGGACAAGCAGGCUCACCCCGCCCUUGCGGGGCUGACCACGAGGCCCCGUCCGGUGGAACAUGCCAUGACGCUUCAGGAGGCUCAUGUAGCUGGCGCCGUAUGGGACAGCGGGGGAGAGAGAAAAUGCACAGCCCAGGGAAUGUGGAGACAGGCCCAGCGCCAGGCAUGGGGGCCGGAAGGAGCAGCCGGGGAGCAGAGGGCAGGGCCUGGAGUCCCGCCUUGCAGAUCUGAACCUGCCCCAGCCCCAGGACUCUGAGUGCAGCCAGAGGGGAGCCGGGCUGGAGAGUGGGGAGCACGGAGACUGUGGCCUGGAUGGUGCCAGAGCAAACAGGGGAGAGGCUGCCCCACGCAGAGGCUGCGGCACAGCCCAGAGGGUCCCGGGGCUGACUGGGUGGGGGCAGCUCCCAGCGAGAGGCCCCUGGGAUUUGGGUAAGUAGAGGCACAUGCAGACUCUGGCCACAGGGCACCUCACGCACGAGGGGAGUUCACCACACAAGCUGAGCGGAGGGCGGACGCAGGAGACCAGCGGUUUCUCGGAAGCCAAGGGCAGUCAUGGAGCCCCACGCCACAGCGCUUCCCACAGGGCCACACCAUCCGGUCUGCGGAGGGGGCUGCAUUGCCGGGAAGGACCAUCUGAUUCUGGAUUCCAGCCUCACCCUGGGCCACCGCUGAGUGUCCCAAGUGGCCCCUUAGCCCCCAGGGCCAGGCGGCAUCCCAAUCCCCUAGGGAUGUCUGUGCUCAGAAUGUGGCACACACGCCCCGGCAGGGCCAUCCUCCUCCUCCUGCACCCGCCACAGCCGUGGGUUCGGGGUCUCUAUCGUGGGCAGAAAUUCACACAGUCAAGGUGAGGGUCCCAGGAGCAGCUGUGACCAGGCCCCGGCUGCCAGGGAGAGGGGGUCUUCAGCCGACGGGGCAGACACCCUGAGAUGGACCCUCGUCCAGGGGAGGGCCCUGCCACCCACAAUUCCUUGGCAUUCCUGCACCAGCAGGACGGGCUGAGGGAGGCGCCUCGCCAGUGUCAGUGCCCAGCAUCACUGUGCCCCGGUGGAGGGGGAGGCCCUUCCGAGCCUGGGCCUGGGUGUGGAUGAGGGCAGGUCUCUCACCUCUCUGACCUCAGCUUCCUCAACUGGGAAGGGGGGCCGCAGCACCCCCUUAGGGGUGAUGAGGAAGUGGGAGCUCAGGGAGGACCCCGGGCAGGGCUGCCUCCUCACCUCUCUUCAGCUUUUGGACACUGGAGCUCAGAGGCCCAAGUGAAUGAAUGAAUGACUCAAUCAAUCAAGUGAUCCAUCAAUCCACGGACCCCUGAACAGCUGGACAGCUGGGCUGUGGGCAGGACAGGGGACUCUGGCUGAAGCCGCGUUCAUAUGUGUUCAGCUUUAGGCCUCCACUGUGCCCGGACCAGCGGCCCACUCAGUGAGUCGAGUGUGCACCUGGCACCCCUCUUUCUGGAAAUCCACGAACAAUGGGCUCCCAGCAGAGGACUGAGGCUGAGCAGGCCACUUCCCUGGAGCUGACCCCACAGCUGUCCUGCUCCUUCUUCGCCUUCUGCCAUGACUGUAAGCUUUCUGAGGGCUGACCAGAAGCCCAGCAGAUGCCAGCACCAUACUUCCUAUACAGCCUGCAGAACCGCGAGCCAGCUAAACCUCUCCUCAUAAAUCACCGAGCCCCAGGUUUAUCUUUACAGCAAUGCAAGACCUGACCAAUACAGCACAAGCUCCCCAAAAUAAAAAGAAAUAUUCAAACAAAUAAGCGCACAGAAGUGUUCCCAGCAGCACUAUUCACAGCAGCCAAAAGGUGGAGGAGCCACAGGCCUGUCAGCUGAUGACAGAUAAAGAAAGCAUGGCCUGUCAUCCCAGCACUUUGGGAGGCCGAGGUGGGUGGAUCACCUGAGGUCGGGAGUUCAAGACCAGCCUGGCCAACAUGGUGAAACCCAGUCUCUACUAAAAA
This 2302-nucleotide non-coding RNA is filed under the name Pan troglodytes (chimpanzee). The record is from RNAcentral. Lineage: Eukaryota; Metazoa; Chordata; Mammalia; Primates; Hominidae.